UUUUCUUUCAUUUAUUUUAUGUAAUAUAUGCAGUAGUAAUUUUGCAUCAAAUAAUUAUUAUAUUUCAUAUAGACAUCUCUUGCAAUCAAACCUUACAAACAUAUGUGCCCCUCACAUGUUUGUAUGUUGUGUUUGUGUAUAUGUCUUGUAAAUAAGAAUCAAUUCAUGUUUUAUUUGUUAUUUUCUGUGAUAGCUUUUAUUAGAAUUACAUCCAUUCUCAGGAGAGGCAUUGAUUGCUUUAUUUUGUGCAAUAACUUGUUUUAUUGUAUGCUUUCAAAGACAUAUUUUUAUUUGUAACACCAUAGAGUCUCGUGAGAAAAAGUGCUGUCAAUUGGCUGUUUUAAAAUCUAAAGCAUCAUGGGUAAUUUCGUUGUUCGUAACCCCAAAAUGAAAAUAAAGUCACAUCAUUGGUUGAAUUUCCAUUGUUUAUGACAUUUUUAACCAAUCAAGACGUUUUGGUGUACACUUUUGAAAAUAUUACCCAGGUUGCAUUAGAUUCUGAAAUGUCAAUUUGUAAUUCCAACAGUGUUUAAAAAUCUUUUCUGGAAAAUAUUUUUAUAUUUAUUAAUUGUUAUUUAUUAUGAAGAGAUUUGUUGUUAAAUGUUCAUUAACUCUGUCAGUUCUAUUGGCAGGAAACAAUAAAGUAUUUUAGA
RNAcentral lists this long non-coding RNA (653 nucleotides) under Mytilus galloprovincialis (Mediterranean mussel). Lineage: Eukaryota; Metazoa; Mollusca; Bivalvia; Mytilida; Mytilidae. The record is from RNAcentral.